CGGAUUUACUGGGCGUAAAGGGUGCGUAGGCGGUCUUUCAAGUCAGGAGUGAAAGGCUACGGCUCAACCGUAGUAAGCUCUUGAAACUGGGAGACUUGAGUGCAGGAGAGGAGAGUGGAAUUCCUAGGGUAGCGGUGAAAUGCGUAGAUAUUAGGAGGAACACCAGUUGCGAAGGCGGCUCUCUGGACUGUAACUGACGCUGAGGCACGAAAGCGUGGGGAGCAAACAGGAUUAGAUACCCUGGUAGUCCACGCUGUAAACGAUGAGUACUAGGUGUCGGGGGUUACCCCCUUCGGUGCCGCAGCUAACGCAUUAAGUACUCCGCCUGGGAAGUACGCUCGCAAGAG
This 347-nucleotide ribosomal RNA is filed under the name Clostridioides difficile. Its description in RNAcentral is "bacterial SSU rRNA". It matches the Rfam family "Bacterial small subunit ribosomal RNA", at positions 546 to 894 of the family's 1533-position model. The record is from RNAcentral. Lineage: Bacteria; Bacillati; Bacillota; Clostridia; Peptostreptococcales; Peptostreptococcaceae.